This 45-nucleotide non-coding RNA is filed under the name Trichobilharzia regenti. Lineage: Eukaryota; Metazoa; Platyhelminthes; Trematoda; Strigeidida; Schistosomatidae. The record is from RNAcentral.
AUCUAGAUGACGAGUCCCGAAUAGGAUGAAACGUACAUCUUGGAU